Molecule: long non-coding RNA, 1491 nt
Filed under: Homo sapiens (human)
Lineage: Eukaryota; Metazoa; Chordata; Mammalia; Primates; Hominidae
Description: non-protein coding lnc-BSX-2:1
Source: RNAcentral
UCCAAAUUGUGAGGCUAGAAGAGCCAUGACCGACAGCUUCUACCGAGAGAAAAGGCAAGGCUUUUGUCUUUCUCUUCCUUCCAGCAAAGCUUUCUGGGGCUCCCCUCUUUAGCCUGGUCUGCUGUUCAAACCACCCAGAGAAGAAAGAUGAAUGUCCAGUCAGCUUCCUGGGGCUCAGCUCAGAGAUGUACAUCCCUGUACCACUAUUCCUCAUUCAUCCAGGAGCAAAAUCCCCUCUUCUCCUGCAAAUGUAACUGCUGUUAAGAAGCUGCACUUGGUAGUGGAGUUCUAUAUACUUCAGGGCGUUUGCUUUUGUUUGUGCAACACCACAGGUAGGAAGGUACCUGUGAAACCCAUGGAGUUCUCCUCUUGCCUCCCAGCUAGUCAGGGCUGUUGGGUACUUUCUGGGGUAGAAAUUCCCUAGCUUCCCUUGGUGACCCUCCUGGUGCUCAACAGGAUGCAGAAUGUGAGGGAAAAAGAGCGAGCACCAACAGGACCCUGGUUUAUGCCUAUUACUCAGGGCCAGGAUGGAAGCAAGCAUGAGAGCCCCUGGGUCCAUUUGGGCUGCUGAGAAAGCCCCUCUCGUGUGACGUGCGUCCCCCACCAAGGAAGCAUCCAAGUCCACCCUGGGUGUGUAUCUACCCAAGCAGCUCCUUAGGGUACACAGCUGAAUUCUACUGCUGACUUUGGCACUUGCUCCUGGUAUCUGAGAAGAACAGAUUCAAUUAAAAAGGAAAUAACAGAUGCUGCAAAUCACUCCCUCAUUUUCAGAGAAGUUUUUUCCCCCUAGUGCCCUGAAUUACUUGAUGAUGAACAGCAAUGCAGUAAAAAAAAAAAAAAAAAUGCAGCUGGCAUGACAACUUCCAACUUGGCUUCAAACCAAGGGGAAGCUGCGGGCUGUCCUUUCUAGAUGGUCUUUAUGCCCGGCACAUUCCUUUCUUUGGUAUGGGUAUUAUUGUGUAGAGAACUUGGCUGGAAGUAAAGGGAUAGAAAAAAAUGAACCCUGGGGUUCUUUUAGCCUUAAGAUUCUUUGCUAUUACUCACUCUUCCUCACAGUAUCUUUGUGAGGGGUGUAUGUAGUCAGUGGGACAUUGAAGGCAGGAUUAGUAUUCCCAUUUUAGAGAUGGAAAUGCAAAGGCCCAAGGACAGCAGGUUAUUUGCAAACUCCAGUAAAGGAAAUUGGUUCUAUCAGAAAACCUUGAUUCUUUUUCCACAUGCACCUGUGCCCGUUACACAGGAUAAUCUCUUCCAGAACUCUAGGAGAAAAGGCUAGGUGGGGACUCAAAUUCCUCCCUUGCAAAAGCCUUAGAUUAGAUAAUUCCACCCAGGAUGUCAGGAAUGCUUGAUGACUUGGAGCAUUUCUGCUGAUUGUAGGCCUAUACCCAGAAAGAGUUAACCAGCAGCUGCUGGGUUUAUUUUCAUUCUCUUUAAUAAGGGAAUCAAAGCAGCAGGACACAAACACACUGAAUCUCUAAUCACUCCAACACCCAC